RNAcentral lists this long non-coding RNA (344 nucleotides) under Homo sapiens (human). Its description in RNAcentral is "long non-coding RNA NONHSAT117697.2". Lineage: Eukaryota; Metazoa; Chordata; Mammalia; Primates; Hominidae. The record is from RNAcentral.
GUGGAAAAGGAGGGAGCUACUCUCAGGCUGCGUCCAGCAACAGUGCCCAGGGCUCUGAUGAGUCUCUCAUCGCUUGUAAAGCCCACCCCCGUGUCCACCGUGACCCCUGUCCCCACACUGACCUGUGUUCCCUCCCCGAUCAUCUUUCCUGUUCCAGAGAAGUGGGCUGGAUGUCUCCAUCUCUGUCUCAACUUCAUGGUGCGCUGAGCUGCAACUUCUUACUUCCCUAAUGAAGUUAGGAACCUGAAUAUAAAUUUGUUUUCUCAAAUAUUUGCUAUGAAGGGUUGAUGGAUUAAUUAAAUAAGUCAAUUCCUGGAAGUUGAGAGAGCAAAUAAAGACCUGAG